GACGAACGCUGGCGGCGUGCCUAAUACAUGCAAGUAGAACGCUGAAGGAGGAGCUUGCUCUUCUGGAUGAGUUGCGAACGGGUGAGUAACGCGUAGGUAACCUGCCUGGUAGCGGGGGAUAACUAUUGGAAACGAUAGCUAAUACCGCAUAACAGUAGAUGUUGCAUGACAUUUACUUAAAAGGUGCAAUUGCAUCACUACCAGAUGGACCUGCGUUGUAUUAGCUAGUUGGUGGGGUAACGGCUCACCAAGGCGACGAUACAUAGCCGACCCGAGAGGGUGAUCGGCCACACUGGGACUGAGACACGGCCCAGACUCCUACGGGAGGCAGCAGUAGGGAAUCUUCGGCAAUGGACGGAAGUCUGACCGAGCAACGCCGCGUGAGUGAAGAAGGUUUUCGGAUCGUAAAGCUCUGUUGUAAGAGAAGAACGAGUGUGAGAGUGGAAAGUUCACACUGUGACGGUAUCUUACCAGAAAGGGACGGCUAACUACGUG
This 495-nucleotide ribosomal RNA is filed under the name uncultured bacterium. RNAcentral describes it as "partial 16S ribosomal RNA". It matches the Rfam family "Bacterial small subunit ribosomal RNA", at positions 28 to 507 of the family's 1533-position model. The record is from RNAcentral.